ACACACACACACACACUUUCAUUGUAAUGCGAUCUGAAAUGAAAACUGAACACCCUUCUAGAGUAUGCGUUCCAGCUUUCAUACGGACUUGGCAUAUCAGACCUGACAACUACUAUUAGUCAGUCUUAGAAAGCAUUUUGUGUUAUUCACACCAUAUGUUCUCCCAUAGUAGUUCCCUUAUACAUACUGUAUAACACGCAACAGGGUUUCUUUGGCUGAUAGACUGAUUGCCUGUUUUUGUGGUAUUUCUGAACAUUCAGCUUAGCCAGAUCAAGACAUUUUGAGAAUUCAGAGUUGACAGAAAAUGGAAUGGCUAUACAUGUAUGGGAUGAAAGGAGAAUAUACCAUGUUCAUACCAACCAAACCAGACAGAUCUAGAGAAUCGCUAAAUGAAAGUGCCUUGGACAACAGCGAACACCAGUGAAACCCAAAGCCACAUUCCAGCAGAUGACCUCGCAGGGCAUCCAAAAGCACAGCUCGGAUAGAUGGACGGACCCCAAAACAAGACCAGCAGCUCGGGAGACGGAACAGGAGUUCCUGGGUAUGGCUCUCCCCCUCUGCUUGUGGUCACCGGGGCUUCCUACUAUGGCGAAUUGACCAAAGGGCCCAACUCUGGGAUUCAGCACACCCGCUAAACAAGACCAACUUUUUCUCAGCUUUCAAAACUCCACGAUGAAAAGGUUUUUUUUUUUUUGUUUGUUUGCAGUAGUAUGUGUGUGUGUGUGUGUGUGUGUGUAUGCUGAGUGCCACCACAAUGCAGAAUGUGCUUGAGUCACUGGGCUGCGGCUGCCAGGCCUCUUUAAACAUUACACUUUGUGAGAGUGUGCUGAAUGGCUUCGCUUCAGAUAUGCUACGGAACGUGAUGGAGAUUCUGGAUCUCUGGUACCCUCACCUAAGUGGACUGGCCACGAGUAGCCGAGCGCGACGGUGUGACAGAGAUUGAGGAACACUGACCACUUUGGUCCAAGGAUGUGAAAUAAUGCUGCUAAACUUAUUGUCCAAAACAGCAGGAUCCACAAAUCAGUGGGGGUUGUGGCUCUCCUUCUCUACAUGAGCACAUCUUUUUGUGCCUCUUCUAUAAAAAAAAAGAAAACCGCAUCCUGUAUGAAGUUGUUUCCCUUUCAGUCAACAUCUCUCUGGUGGGGGGAGGAGGCGGGACUGGUUACCCCCGAUUAAGAUAUUUCUUUUUUCUGUUAGUGUCUAUGGCAAUCAUAGGAAACUCCACUGCACCUGUAGCCUCGCUCCUCUGCUUCAUGUACCGGUGAUCGCUUUGUUCUGAAGCAGGAUUGGACAGCUGAGGAGAUGUCUGACUGCCAGUCACCCCUAUGAAACGUUUCCAUUGGAGCCCUGAGUCAGAGUAUAUUUAUGUAUUCAAGAGUUUUAUGGCUGUAUAUUACAUAAUCAUGCCAACUUUCCAACUUGUAAAUAUCGAAAGACUAAAGCCAAAAAAGAGAUCAAGUGUAAUGCACAUAAAUGAAUGUGACUUAUCAACUGGGAGUUGAGUUGACAUACUAAUUUUUAAAAAAUGAAAUGUAUUUAAAUAAAUUAUAAGAUUGGUAUAUAAAAUC
Molecule: long non-coding RNA, 1568 nt
Organism: Alosa sapidissima (American shad)
Lineage: Eukaryota; Metazoa; Chordata; Actinopteri; Clupeiformes; Clupeidae
Exons: 2
Source: RefSeq, a predicted model, not a curated record